RNAcentral lists this ribosomal RNA (229 nucleotides) under uncultured bacterium. RNAcentral's name for it is "partial 16S ribosomal RNA". It matches the Rfam family "Bacterial small subunit ribosomal RNA", at positions 568 to 796 of the family's 1533-position model. The record is from RNAcentral.
CGCGUAGGCGGUCUUAUAAGUCAGAUGUGAAAGCCCGGGGCUCAACCCCGGAAGUGCAUCUGAAACUAUAGGACUUGAGUAUGGGAGAGGGAAGUGGAAUUCCUGGUGUAGCGGUGAAAUGCGUAGAUAUCAGGAGGAACACCGGUGGCGAAGGCGACUUCCUGGACCAAUACUGACGCUGAGGCGCGAAGGCGUGGGGAGCAAACAGGAUUAGAUACCCUGGUAGUCC